This is a non-coding RNA of Salmo salar (Atlantic salmon), 79 nucleotides long. The record is from Rfam. Lineage: Eukaryota; Metazoa; Chordata; Actinopteri; Salmoniformes; Salmonidae.
UGGCUCAGUUGGUAAGAGCAUGGUGUUUGCAACGCCAGCAUGGUGUGUGCAAUGCCAGGGUUGUGGGUUCGAUUCCCAC